AAGCUGUGGCACUCCAGUGCUUCUCUUCACAAAGCCCUGCCUGGCCAAGAAGACACCUCUUUAUUUAUGCCUAUAAAAUUCCUCAAACAUGACCUCAUCUCAAAGCUGAUUUGUCAGGAAAACUAACUAGGCCAUAGUGAAGCACUUCUGGAAUUGUGGGGCUUGUUAUCCCAGAUACAUUUGGUUCAGGACAGAUUUUGGUUGUCUGAAGAACUCCUGUGGUUUCAACAGACGUGGAAUGAGCCCUUGUGGUACUUUCUUUCAAAUUUGCCGUUUGUCAAGAAAAUUAGAAACUGAGGAGAAAGAGGAGUGAAGAACAGAAAGAGAGGAGAAAUUAUUUCCUUUAAAAAAUAUAUAUUAUUCAGGUAUUCACUUGAGAGAGGUAUUUACUGUUAUGGGAUGUGACUUAAAGUGGAAAAGAAAGGCUCCUUAUCUCUGGUUCAGCUUUGUCCUUUCUAUGUGAGAAAUGGGAAAGCUGCUGGAAAGCAAGAAUGGAGAGAUGACUCAUUUAAGCUUUGCAGAUUUUUCUUCUGUGAACAUUAAAUUAUUAGGAUCAUCACUAGAAUUAGUGUUAGGUAGCUGAGCAGAUUGAUGAUUUAAAUCUCUCACUACAAAGCAAUUUCUUCAUAAAUUGUUUUUUGUUUUUAUUUUUUUUCAGGCCUGCAGCACGUUUCUCCAAGCCUCAGGAGUGGGACUUCUCCCAACAGAUUUCAUUUGCACAGUAGGCAAACCCACAGCAGAUAAAAAUAAUCCCAAUGCAGACUCAUUGUCCAAAAAGGACCUGGAUAAUUCAGGUUUCCUAAGAGAAAAGGUUUGCCAUCUGAGUGGAAAUCUAACAAAACAGCACAGAAGGGGUUGGACCCAUCAGCCAAGCUGAACAGCUGCAGGGAAGCUACAUGAAAACCUAAUCACUCCACUGGAGUAAUUUAUUGUAGCUGGUUUGCAGGAUAAUAGCAAAAAAGAAAUUAAACUCUUUUAUAUCCUUUUGCAGCAUGAGGUCCCAUGCCAGACCUUUGCAAAGCACUUUUCUCAAGCUGUAGUGAGGAUUUCACCCGGGGUGAUGUGCAGGAGUGAGCUAGGAGGGAAAAUGGCAAAAGGUACCACUGUGGAUCUGUAAUGUGGCAUCUCAGGACUUCACGGUCCAUUCCUUCAGCACGUCCUGCUUGUGAAACUUCUGUUUAUCGUCCCAUGUUAGUCCCAAAUUGGUAAUGCUCAACUAGAGGCAUUUUUGGC
RNAcentral lists this long non-coding RNA (1233 nucleotides) under Cyanistes caeruleus (blue tit). Its description in RNAcentral is "lncRNA (ENSCCEG00000017852.1)". The record is from RNAcentral. Lineage: Eukaryota; Metazoa; Chordata; Aves; Passeriformes; Paridae.